GACGAACGCUGGCGGCGUGCUUAACACAUGCAAGUCGAACGGAAAGGCCCUGCUUUUGUGGGGUUCUCGAGUGGCGAACGGGUGAGUAACACGUGAGUAACCUGCCCUUGACUUUGGGAUAACUUCAGGAAACUGGGGCUAAUACCGGAUAUGAGCUCCUGCUGCUUGGUGGGGGUUGGAAAGUUUCGGCGGUUGGGGAUGGACUCGCGGCUUAUCAGCUUGUUGGUGGGGUAGUGGCUUACCAAGGCUUUGACGGGUAGCCGGCCUGAGAGGGUGACCGGCCACAUUGGGACUGAGAUACGGCCCAGACUCCUACGGGAGGCAGCAGUGGGGAAUAUUGCACAAUGGGCGGAAGCCUGAUGCAGCAACGCCGCGUGCGGGAUGACGGCCUUCGGGUUGUAAACCGCUUUCGCCUGUGACGAAGCGUGAGUGACGGUAAUGGGUAAAGAAGCACCGGCUAACUACGUG
Molecule: ribosomal RNA, 468 nt
Filed under: uncultured bacterium
Lineage: Bacteria
Description: partial 16S ribosomal RNA
Rfam family: Bacterial small subunit ribosomal RNA
Source: RNAcentral